This 253-nucleotide ribosomal RNA is filed under the name uncultured bacterium. RNAcentral's name for it is "partial 16S ribosomal RNA". It matches the Rfam family "Bacterial small subunit ribosomal RNA", at positions 524 to 776 of the family's 1533-position model. The record is from RNAcentral.
UACGUAGGGUGCAAGCGUUAAUCGGAAUUACUGGGCGUAAAGCGUGCGCAGGCGGUGAUGUAAGGCAGUUGUGAAAUCCCCGGGCUCAACCUGGGAACUGCAUCUGUGACUGCAUCGCUGGAGUGCGGCAGAGGGGGAUGGAAUUCCGCGUGUAGCAGUGAAAUGCGUAGAUAUGCGGAGGAACACCGAUGGCGAAGGCAAUCCCCUGGGCCUGCACUGACGCUCAUGCACGAAAGCGUGGGGAGCAAACGGG